CCCUUAGAUGUUCUGGGCCGCACGCGCGCUACACUGAUGCAUUCAACGAGUUUCUUCCUGGUCCGAGAGGAAUGGGUAACCUUUUGAAAGUGCAUCGUGAUAGGGAUAGACUAUUGCAAUUAUUGGUCUUCAACGAGGAAUUCCUAGUAGACGUAGUUCAUCAGACUGCAUCGAUUACGUCCCUGCCCUUUGUACACACCGCCCGUCGCACCUACCGAUUGAAUGGUCCGGUGAAAUCUUCGGAUUGAGACUUUGAUUUCUUCACGGAAAACGCUGUUUUAAAAAGUUGAUUAAACCUUACCAUUUAGAGGAAGGUGAAGUCGUAACA
RNAcentral lists this ribosomal RNA (328 nucleotides) under uncultured eukaryote. Its description in RNAcentral is "partial 18S ribosomal RNA". It matches the Rfam family "Eukaryotic small subunit ribosomal RNA", at positions 1470 to 1796 of the family's 1831-position model. The record is from RNAcentral.